This 64-nucleotide transfer RNA is filed under the name Epilampra maya. RNAcentral describes it as "tRNA-Thr". It matches the Rfam family "tRNA". Rfam says of the family: Transfer RNA (tRNA) molecules are approximately 80 nucleotides in length. Their secondary structure includes four short double-helical elements and three loops (D, anti-codon, and T loops). The record is from RNAcentral. Lineage: Eukaryota; Metazoa; Arthropoda; Insecta; Blattodea; Blaberidae.
GUUUUAAUAAUUUAAGUAAAAUAUUGGUCUUGUAAACCAAAAAUAAGAAUAUUCUUUUAAAACU